Molecule: ribosomal RNA, 449 nt
Filed under: uncultured bacterium
Lineage: Bacteria
Description: partial 16S ribosomal RNA
Rfam family: Bacterial small subunit ribosomal RNA
Source: RNAcentral
AACGAACGCUGGCGGCAUGCCUAAUACAUGCAAGUCGAACGAUCACUUCGGUGGUAGUGGCGCACGGGUGCGUAACGCGUGGGAAUCUGCCCUUGGGUUCGGAAUAACGUCGGGAAACUGACGCUAAUACCGGAUGAUGACGUAAGUCCAAAGAUUUAUCGCCCAGGGAUGAGCCCGCGUAGGAUUAGCUAGUUGGUGGGGUAAAGGCCUACCAAGGCGACGAUCCUUAGCUGGUCUGAGAGGAUGAUCAGCCACACUGGGACUGAGACACGGCCCAGACUCCUACGGGAGGCAGGAGUAGGGAAUAUUGGACAAUGGGGGCAACCCUGAUCCAGCAAUGCCGCGUGAGUGAUGAAGGCCUUAGGGUUGUAAAGCUCCUUUACCCGGGAUGAUAAUGACAGUACCGGGAGAAUAAGCCCCGGCUAACUCCGUGCCAGCCGCCGCGGUAA